AUACAGCAAAACUGCAAAGGGCUCAUUAUAUCAUUUAUAGUUUAUUUGAUAGUCCCUUACUAAACGGAUAACCGUAGUAAUUCUAAAGCUAAUACGUGCGUAAAGCGCGGCUGCCUCUCGGGGGCAGGCGUGUGUAUUUAUUAAAUGUACCCAACCCGGCUUGUCCGGUUUUAGGUGAAUCAUAUUAACUUGACAAAUCGCAUGCCUUGAGCGGCGAUGGAUCAUUCAAGUUUCUGCCCUAUCAGCUUUCGAUGGAAGGGUAUUGGCCUACCAUGGCGUUGACGGGAAACGAAAAAUUAGGGUUCGAUUCCGGAAAGGGAGCCUGAAAAACGGCUACCACAUCCAAGGAAGGCAGCAGGCGCGUAAAUUACCCAAUCCUAACACAGGGAGGUAGUGACAAUAAAUAACAAUACAGAACUCAUUGAGUUAUGUAAUUGGAAUGAGAACAAUUUAAAUCCCUUAUCGAGUAUCAAUUGA
This 477-nucleotide ribosomal RNA is filed under the name uncultured eukaryote. Its description in RNAcentral is "bacterial SSU rRNA". It matches the Rfam family "Eukaryotic small subunit ribosomal RNA", at positions 76 to 551 of the family's 1831-position model. The record is from RNAcentral.